GUUGAGGUGGCUCAGUCAGUUGAGCGUCUGACUUCGGCUCAGGUCACGGGCCUUAACG
Molecule: transfer RNA, 58 nt
Filed under: Felis catus (domestic cat)
Lineage: Eukaryota; Metazoa; Chordata; Mammalia; Carnivora; Felidae
Source: Rfam by way of RNAcentral